RNAcentral lists this ribosomal RNA (497 nucleotides) under uncultured bacterium. RNAcentral describes it as "partial 16S ribosomal RNA". It matches the Rfam family "Bacterial small subunit ribosomal RNA", at positions 28 to 507 of the family's 1533-position model. The record is from RNAcentral.
GAUGAACGCUGGCGGCGUGCCUAAUACAUGCAAGUUGAGCGAACGGACGAGAAGCUUGCUUCUCUGAUGUUAGCGGCGGACGGGUGAGUAACACGUGGAUAACCUACCUAUAAGACUGGGAUAACUUCGGGAAACCGGAGCUAAUACCGGAUAAUAUUUUGAACCGCAUGGUUCAAAAGUGAAAGACGGUCUUGCUGUAACUUAUAGAUGUAUCCGCGCUGCAUUAGCUAGUUGGUAAGGUAACGGCUUACCAAGGCAACGAUGCAUAGCCGACCUGAGAGGGUGAGCGGCCACACUGGAACGGAGACACGGUCCAGACUCCUACGGGAGGCAGCAGUAGGGAAUCUUCCGCAAUGGGCGAAAGCCUGACGGAGCAACGCCGCGUGGGUGAUGAAGGUCUUCGGAUCGUAAAACUCUGUUAUUAGGGAGGAACAUAUGUGUAAGUAACUGUGCACAUCGUGACGGUACCUAAUCAGAAAGCCACGGCUAACUACGUG